Molecule: long non-coding RNA, 732 nt
Organism: Sinocyclocheilus anshuiensis
Lineage: Eukaryota; Metazoa; Chordata; Actinopteri; Cypriniformes; Cyprinidae
Exons: 3
Source: RefSeq, a predicted model, not a curated record
GCAAGCAAGCACAACUUUAAACCUGAGCUCCGCGUUUUUAGAACGCCGUGCGAGACGCUGCAAAAGACGCGACGCGCGUCUGUCUAGCGCCUGUUUACAUAGAAAACAUGAAAAAAACAGCGCAGAUGAAUGCAAAAAGAGGCCUGCGUGAACGUCCUCUUUACUGUUGUAUAUGGAGCACCUACAGCCAGGUGGAACAUCAGCGGUAGAACUUGACGCAUUAUGACGCCAUAGUUCUGAGGCGACCUCAGUGGAAUCUGUUCAGAGCAGUUCAUCUGUGACUGAAGUUGUUCAGACCAUUUUAACUGUUUGUGAUCGCAGUGAAAAGCCGAAAAAGCAAGACGCUGACAAGGCCAAGCAUUACUCCUACUUUUGAGAGCCCUUCCCAGACCCAGUUACCUCAAUUUACACCUUCCUUGGCUGGCCCAUCUUCUAACACGAGGCCUCCAUCCAGGCGCAUGAAGGGAAAACAAAAAAAAGUUGUAUUUCCUGACACUGGAAAUGCAGUGAAUUCUGUGACCAGCAGAAACGGCACCGGAGACCCUUUACCAUCCGUCCCGGGCAUUCCAGCAGUGCCAAAAGGCGACCAGAAUGGAAAGACCAUGUGCAGUGAUGCUGCGACCUUUUUCUCUGCCACUGACAGGGCAAGACUUUUUGGCAUCAGCAAGUGGUAUUAGAGUCCAGGGAGGAGAUGAAAUCAUCAGAAAAAAAGAAGAAAUCUGUUCAAAAGAG